UAUCUCUGUAGAGUCUGCAUAUCAAUAAGCGGAGGAAAAGAAACUAACAAGGAUUCCCUUAGUAACGGCGAGUGAAGCGGGAAGAGCUCAAAUUUGAAAUCUUCAAGGUUCUUCCUUGACGAAUUGUAGUUUAUAGAAGUGUUUUCUGUUAGUAGAGUGGCAGAAGUUCUUUGGAAUAGGACAUCAUAGAGGGUGAGAAUCCCGUAUUUGGUCAUUCUUUCUAGCUUUGUGAUACACUUUCAACGAGUCGGAUUGUUUGGGAAUGUAGUCCAAAAUGGGUGGUAAAUUUCAUCUAAAGCUAAAUAUUGGCGAGAGACCGAUGGCGAACAAGUACCGUGAGGGAAAGAUGAAAAGAACUUUGAAAAGAGAGUUAAACAGUACGUGAAAUUGUCAAAAGGGAAGCGUUUGACACCAGUGUUGUUUUUCCGAAAAUCAAUUACGAAUGUUUUGUUUUUGAGAAGUUAUGACUUCAUCGGCUUGCUUCUCUCUUUACGAAACUUUCUUAAUGCACUUUUCGGUUAACAAGUCAACAUCAAUUUCUUUUGUUGUAAAGGGGUAUGAGGAAGGUGGCUUUCUUUUCGGAGAAAGUGUUUAUAGCCUUGUACCUCUGCAAUCGGAGAGAUUGAGGUCUGCAGCGUAGAUCCUUCGGGGUUAGAUACAUUUGUGCUAAGUUAUAGCUUUUCAUAGACAACUUGUUGACUAUGUUAAGUCUUGUAGCUUACUCGCUUAUGCUAUUUUACCUACGCUUAGGAUGUUGAUGUGAUACUGCGAGCA
This 774-nucleotide ribosomal RNA is filed under the name uncultured Neocallimastigales. RNAcentral's name for it is "partial large subunit ribosomal RNA". It matches the Rfam family "Eukaryotic large subunit ribosomal RNA", at positions 24 to 646 of the family's 3401-position model. The record is from RNAcentral. Lineage: Eukaryota; Fungi; Neocallimastigomycota; Neocallimastigomycetes; Neocallimastigales.